GGUAGCCUAAAAAAUAUAAAAUGUCUUAUUCCACAAUAUGAUGUAAUUAGCUUCAGGAAUAGAUGGUGGAACCACUGAUACAAGAGGAAACCAACCUACAGAUGAGAAAAUGUUCAAAGAAAAUGCUCGAAGGUUUUCUAUAACUGGCCCAAUGUCAUGUGGUCCAUAGUAAUGGAGCCAUGUCUCAUCCUAAAGCCCAUGCUGAAACCCAGAGGCUUUUGAGACUUUGUCAGCGCACCCUGAACACCAGAAUCACCUAAGAAGCUUCUUACGAACAUAUUUCCUGGCCCCAGGAGCUGAGGCUGGACCUUGAAGUUAAUUCACCAUGAGUGCUAUUUUACUUGAUUUAGGACAUUUUCCUUCACAUAAAAAUUUAAGUUUAUACUACUGUCACCUCUGGUCAAGAUGGAAUAAUAGAGACCAUAUUUAUCCUUCUGCUUGAAAAUCUAAAACACCAGACAAAAUAUAUGAAAUAUUUUUCAAGACAUUAGACAUCAAGAAACACUUGAUCCUUAAGAAGUGGGAAACAAAUGAGGUGAGUCUCCAAUUGACCCAGUUUACAACCUGG
Microcebus murinus (gray mouse lemur) is the source of this 568-nucleotide non-coding RNA. The record is from RefSeq and is a predicted model, not a curated record. NCBI's taxonomy places the organism in Eukaryota, Metazoa, Chordata, Mammalia, Primates, Cheirogaleidae.